AUGCCUUGUAUAUCUCGUACGCGUAGCAGCGUAGCACGAACAAGCCUAGCUCUAUUCCGCGAAAAAGCAGGGGUGCACAAUUUGCGGCCACCUUCCCGCUGUCCCUCCCACGUCGUUCAUAUAAGGCGCUGCCACCGGCACCGGCCGGGAAGCGCAGCGAUCGAACACGAGCCACAGCGAGAGGAGGGACCAGAAACCGGAGACCUACGGCCAUGGGAGGCAAGGCGAGGAGGCCCUGCGCGCUGCUGCUCGUUCUGCUCUGCAUGGCCGCGCGCAUCCAGGGCGCGUGCUGCCUUGGCGGAGGGCACGGAGGCGGAGUGGGCGGCGGAGGGCACGGAGGCGGAGUGGGCGGCGGAGGCCACGGAGGCGGAGUGGGCGGCGGAGGCCACGGAGGAGAAGCGGGCGGCGGAGGGCAUGGAGGAGGAGUGGCUGGCGGUGGCCACGAUGGCGGCGUUGGCGGCGGCGGAAGCGACGGAGAAGGUGACGGGACAGGAGGCGGCGGAAGCGGCGGCCGGAGGGGAGGCGGCGGCGGCGCUGCGAUUAUUCCGGGGGCGGGCGGACACAGCACGCCGGCUGGUUCUCGUGCCGGCCGCGGGGUCGGCUGGAGUGUUCCCGGCGCCGUUUCCCUCGCGGCCGCGGCGCUCGUCUGGUGGCUCUGAGCGUACGUACUCCACAACAAGCUAA
This 684-nucleotide ribosomal RNA is filed under the name Triticum aestivum (bread wheat). RNAcentral's name for it is "partial small subunit ribosomal RNA". The record is from RNAcentral. Lineage: Eukaryota; Viridiplantae; Streptophyta; Magnoliopsida; Poales; Poaceae.